Molecule: long non-coding RNA, 1008 nt
Organism: Halichondria panicea
Lineage: Eukaryota; Metazoa; Porifera; Demospongiae; Suberitida; Halichondriidae
Exons: 2
Source: RefSeq, a predicted model, not a curated record
AGGAGGUACGACCGGAAGCGAUGUAUCACUGCUAAAUUGACAUUCUUUAAAUAACGCGCACACUUGCCACAAACAAAAUGUCUUCCCAGCAAAACGUAGACAGCGACAUUGCUAGUCCUUUGUCAGUCUCUAGUCCCUUGUCAUCAGUAGAAAUUGGACUUGACAGAUUGAUCACUAUAUUUUGAAGAUAGGAAUAAAGUUUGCUUAUAUCAUCCCGUCCUUCUCAGUGAUCUAUGUGGAUUUGCGACAAGUUAGAAUUCAGUUCCUUGAUAAAGAAGACCAAGACAGUGCUAGUGACUCUCCUGUUGUAAUGAUGGAUGCCUUCAUCAGAGCUGAUCCCGAGCUAGACAAAAUAGUACCUCCUUUCACUAUUCAACUCAAAGAUUACUGCUUCGUAUCGGUGGAAGAGUUUUGCAAACGUGUGUACGUCAAACACCUUGAAUCUACACCAGAUGGACUCUUCAUUAUCUGGGGAUGGACAGAAGAGAGUAUGGAUGAGAAAAAUGCCUCUGAUGACGAUCCAGCGUUGAUGUCUGACAGUUUGUCAACAGAAUCAGAUAAAAGUGAUGACGAGUGUGCAGUCUCAAAAGAAAUUAGCACAGUUAAUUUUAAGUGUGUUGGUGUCACUCGUGACCCCUUGUAUCAAGAAACUUUGAAGCUAGCAUUUGAUAUGUUGAUCAACGAAAAAAGAUGUUCCAGUGAGAUUAAAUCCCGAACCUAACAAUCCGUAUGAUUCUCAUGCAGUGGCAUUUGAGUGUAAGAUAAUUGCUGGCUGUUGGAAGGUGUUUGGGUAUGUACCCAAGGAACUGUGUGAUUUUGUAUUGAGUGCUAUCGACAAGGGGGACAUUCUUAACGUUGAAUUUUCAUGGAUUAAAUAUAAAAUUAUUCGAAGUACCACUCUAGUAUGUGCACUGCAACUUCUGUCAGAUCUACUUCCAUUCCCAGUUCUUCUGCGUUUAGUUCUGUUCAUUGCAUUGUUUAUUUCAGAGGUUAUUUGGGGUUAAUCUC